Molecule: long non-coding RNA, 857 nt
Filed under: Calidris pugnax (ruff)
Lineage: Eukaryota; Metazoa; Chordata; Aves; Charadriiformes; Scolopacidae
Description: lncRNA (ENSCPUG00000005604.1)
Source: RNAcentral
UGGGAAUUCGAUCGGGAAUCGCCGGCUCCUGCUCCGGGAACCAACCGGGAACCGCUCCCGGAUUUCGGGAACCGGGAACCGACCCUCCGGGAACCGGGAACCCACCCCGGGACCCCACCGGGAACCGGGAACCGACCCACCGGGAACCGGGACCCCACCGGGAACGCCAGGAACUUACCGGGAACCGCUCUUGGACCCCGGGAACCGGGAAACCGACUCACCGGGAACCGGGAACCCCCCCGGGGAACCCACCGGGAACCGCUCCCGGACCUCGGGAACCGACCCACCGGGACCCCACCGGGAACGCCAGGAACCGCUCCCGGACCUCGGGACCCGGGAACCCACCCCGGGACCCCACCGGGAACUCUAGGAAUUCACUGGGAACUGCUCCCGGACCCCCCCCACCGGGAAACAGGGAAUCGAGCUCGGGAACCGGGCACCGGGAUCCGCCCCGGGACCGACCCCACCGGGAACUGGGAUCUGACCCCCGGGGCACCCACUUUCACCCGGGACACCGGGACUUGACUUGGGACCCCCACCCGGGAACCCCAUUGAGGACCUUGGGACCCCCCUUGAGGACCCCAGGACGCACCCAGGACCCCAGGACCCUCCUUGAGGACCCCAGGACCCCCCCAGGACCCCCUUGAGGACCCCAGGACCCACCCGGGACCCCCUUGAGGAGCCCAGGACCCCCUUGAGGAGCUCAGCACCCACCAGGACCCUCCUUGAGGACCCCAGGACCCCCCCAGGACCCCCUUGAGGACCCCAGGACCCACCCGGGACCCCCUUGAGGAGCCCAGGACCCCCUUGAGGAGCUCAGCACCCACCAGGACCCUCCUUGAGGACCCCAGGACCCC